CCUACGGGAGACAGCAGUGGGGAAUAUUGGGCAAUGGGCGCAAGCCUGACCCAGCAACGCCGCGUGAAGGAAGAAGGCUUUCGGGUUGUAAACUUCUUUUCUCAGGGACGAAGAAAGUGACGGUACCUGAGGAAUAAGCCACGGCUAACUACGUGCCAGCAGCCGCGGUAAUACGUAGGUGGCAAGCGUUAUCCGGAUUUACUGGGUGUAAAGGGCGUGUAGGCGGGAAAGCAAGUUAGAUGUGAAAACCACGGGCUCAACCUGUGGCCGGCAUGUGAAACUGUUUUUCUUGUGUUCAGGAGCGGUAGACGGAAUUUCUGGUGUAGCGGUGAAAUGCGUAGAUAUUAGGAGGAACACCAGGGGAGAAGGCGGUUUACUGGACACCAAGUGACGCUGAGGCGCGAAAGCGAGGGGAGAAAACGGGAUUAGAUACCCUGGUAGUC
This 443-nucleotide ribosomal RNA is filed under the name uncultured bacterium. RNAcentral describes it as "partial 16S ribosomal RNA". It matches the Rfam family "Bacterial small subunit ribosomal RNA", at positions 338 to 795 of the family's 1533-position model. The record is from RNAcentral.